Molecule: unclassified non-coding RNA, 348 nt
Filed under: uncultured fungus
Lineage: Eukaryota; Fungi
Description: sequence contains ITS1
Source: RNAcentral
AAAUCCGAGAAUUUCACCUCCAACAAUGAAAUACGAAUACCCCCAACUGUCCCUAUUAAUCAUUACUUUCAGUCGCAAACCAACAAAAUAGACGAAAAGUCCUAUCUUAUUAUUCCAUGCUAAUAUAUUCAACGGCAUAAGCCUGCUUUAAACACUCUAAUUUUUUCACAGUAAACGAUGGUUAUCCCCAUCCCGAUAACUUAAUACCAAGAAGGUUCUCACCAAGGAUGGCGAGAGGGACAGAGCUCACACACAGAGUGAGUGGCCCGUUCCUCCUACCAGAAAUCCAACUACGAGCUUUUUAACUGCAACAACUUUAAUAUACGCUAUUGGAGCUGGAAUUACCGC